This 467-nucleotide ribosomal RNA is filed under the name uncultured bacterium. RNAcentral describes it as "partial 16S ribosomal RNA". It matches the Rfam family "Bacterial small subunit ribosomal RNA", at positions 28 to 507 of the family's 1533-position model. The record is from RNAcentral.
GAUGAACGCUGGCGGCGUGCUUAACACAUGCAAGUCGAACGGAAAGGCCCAAGCUUGCUUGGGUACUCGAGUGGCGAACGGGUGAGUAACACGUGGGUGAUCUGCCCUGCACUUCGGGAUAAGCCUGGGAAACUGGGUCUAAUACCGGAUAGGACCACUUCUUGGAUGUUGUGGUGGAAAGUUUUUUCGGUGUGGGAUGAGCUCGCGGCCUAUCAGCUUGUUGGUGGGGUAAUGGCCUACCAAGGCGUCGACGGGUAGCCGGCCUGAGAGGGUGUACGGCCACAUUGGGACUGAGAUACGGCCCAGACUCCGACGGGAGGCAGCAGGGGGGAAUAUUGCACAAUGGGCGCAAGCCGGAUGCAGCGACGCCGCGUGGGGGAGGACGGCCUUCGGGUUGUAAACUCCUUUCGCUAGGGACGAAGCGUUUUGUGACGGUACCCGGAGAAGAAGCACCGGCUAACUACGUG